AUUUUGAGAAAAAUUAUACUUUAUUAUCAUUACUCCUCUUCUCUAAUGGGAUAGGAUAUGGGUUAUAUUGGGUUCUUUUUCUCUGGCCAUGUUCUCUGUCAUUUCAUUUAAUCUUCAUAAUGGCAAUAUGGGUAGAAAUUCUUAUUCCAGUUUUACAGAUGAGGAAAAUGGAAUUCAAAAAGACUAAGAGACUUGCAUGAGAGCAUACUUCCAAGUAAGUGUGAAAGCUAGGCUUCCAAUUCUGGUUAAUUUAUCUCAAAGCAUAUAAGGCUUACACUACUAUACCCUAUCUACCUCUCACAUAAUUUACCACAUUAUUUUGUAAUGCUUACUCAUUUGCACCUCCUACAAGUUUUUAGUAUCCUACUAUGCAGAGAAUAUAAUGUAUUUACCUUUGAGUUCCUUGUGUCUAACAGAAUGCUUUAUUAAGAGUGAACAUUUAGUGAAUAAAUGAAUGAAUAAAUUAAUACUAGUAAGUAUGACCAGUUUAUUCUGCUGAAUGACGUACAUAUUAAAACGAUUAGAAACCUAUUACCGUCUUAGAUCCACUCACCCAAAUAAGGCAUGUAGGGCUGCAUAUAUGGCUAGCUGGAACCAUAGGCAAUGAUGGGGUGGUUGGAGUCUGUUAUUCUCUGUCUUGAGGCAAGCCAGGUGAUUCAUCACAUGGGGUGGGAGAGGAUUGUUGGAAAAAGGAUCUGAGAGGAAGUUAGGGUCAAAGAGAGGAUGUGGAAGUUGAACCAUGGUUCACACAAGAACCGGGAACAAAUCCAAAGGAAAAGGAGUUCCAAAAGAAAAGAAUUUAUUUCUCUCUCCUUAGAAUUCCAUUCCAUUGUAUGAGCAAUGUUUGGAGAAAGGACAGAAGAGAGAAAGGGAAACAGAAAGACAAUAUUUUCCUAAGUUGUUCUUUGUUAGGCGCUGUAAUGGAGUGGAAUGAGACCUGGAUAUGGCGUCAGAGAGACUGGGGCUCAAGAACUGUGCUCUGACAUUUAUUAGCUGUGGGCAAAUAACUUAACAUGUUUAAAUCUUCAUUUCUCAUCUGUAAAAUAUGGUUGAUACUAUCCAACUUAAAAAUCACAGUGCAAAUUAAAUGAGAUAAUCGUUGUGAAAAUGUCUAGCAUGGUGUCAGCCACGUAUUAAAUGUUCCGAGAGUGUUUACAUAGAUGACUAAGAAAAGCUUUAGUCUUCCUAAAUAUUUUCCAGGAAAGACUAUCAUGAUGGGAACUGUUGGACAGGCAAGUCAGUAAAUAGCAAGAAGGACUUGACCUUCUGUGUCUCCGGGAUCCCACAGUUGCAUAGACUUGGUGAGAGACUAAUAUGAAACAAAUGUGUACUAGAAAUAUAUUUUCUAAGCAAGCUCUCUUCCUGAGGAGCUGGGGAAGAGAUUAAAUCCUUUUCUGCCUGCAUUCAACAUGGAUCUCCUGAAUGGUGGUUGGCUGCCAAGCACUGUCUUGGACCUGGACAGACAAAGAUGCAAAGACAGUGCUCCAGUUCUCUAAGGAAUUGUGGUCUGUGGAGUCAGAAGGAUAUUUAAACAAAGAAGAGGACCAUGGAACCCAGGAAAAGUUUUCUACAAGACAUGUUUCCUAUUCUAAGCUCUGAAGGACUUUGAGUCUAAUUUGAAACUUUCUCAACAUGACUGAUCCUACUUUCAUGGAAAAAACAUAACCCUUCCACGCUGAUUCCUGGCUGAUGUUUCCAGCUGCGAGGUCAGCUCCCACUCCAUUGCAGCACUGGAAAUGAAGUCAGCCUACAGAGGAAACUAAUUGUGUUCCCGUGCUGGAACAAUAUCUGUAUAUACUGGAAAAAGUAAAGACAAAGCUCACUUCACAAUUCCAGCUCCACCCCUGCUUAGUGAUACCACCUUGAGAAAAAAUGGCUUAACCUCUCUAAGAUAGCACAUUUGGUGGUAAAAUAGGAAUGCAAAUACUGAUUGGAAAAGGCACGUAAGUCUUAUACUUCAAACCUUUCCUGGAGACACAUGGGAAUACUCAGAUUUACACUCUACUUUUCUACUUUGGGGAGAAAAAAAACAGAAGAAACUAAACUAAAACUGUGCAGUUUGUAUUUUAAAAAAGACUGGACAUUGAGAUCUUGCCAAACAUCUCUCCAUUCAGCAACCACUGAGAGAGUGUGGCGCUACCUUUUAUCUGUUGUAUGAGCUUGGGGAAAUGACUCGGUACCUCUGAGUUUCCUCCCUCAUCUGUUAAAAACAAAAUACAAAAAUGGUGUUGCAAUGCAAGAAAUUCUUUUAGUUCAUAUUCUUCCAGCUUCUCUGGGGCUCUGUCAAUUAUCCUGCACUCUGUUUUUCCUCCUGGGUUGCAUGUGUGACCUUAGACAUGGAUAGCACAUGAACACGCUUGCUUCUGCAGGGUGCUGAUACUUUCUAGGUGACUGAGACUCAUGGAGUGGAAAGAGUGACUGUAGAGGUGACAUAUCAUUAAACCAAGUCACACUGCCUGCCAUUUAUCUGCCUGAAGGGAAGUUUCCUUUCGUUCGGGGACACUGGGACUCUAUCUAGGGUAAAGGGAAGACAAACACACAAUACUCCGAUGUCCUUGGGAAAAUGUCAUUGAAAUGGGUCAGCCUUUCUAUUUCAGAGUUGUGCUCAUCUGAAAACAUUAAAGAAUGUUAAAAAUAAGUACACAGUGUGCUCUCAGCUGCUCCAGCCAAGCCAGCUUGUCUUUGAGAAGGCCUCUGGAUAUUAACAAUAGGCUUAUAGACAUGCCAGCCUCCUGUGACUUCUCUGGGGAGUAAUGUGGGCAUUUGGGGAAGUUCCUGCAUCACUCACUGUCCCACAAACUCUUUGUCAAUGAGGUAGAAAUUACUUGGGCAAUAUUAAUCUCUUGGGGUGGGGUGGGUAUGUAAGCAGACUUAAUGAUUUCAAUGUUUUCUAAAUGUGUACUCUGAUUCUAAACACUGAAUUUCUACAUUUUGUCUACGAAAAACAAACAACUUUCAACAUCAAAUUUAUUUCUGUUUCUCAGUCUUUCCUCUUUGUCUUUAUGCUAAGAUCUCCUACCCAAGCCCGUGGUCUCCAUAGAUUCAGGGCUAGAAAUAUUUAAGGGCUUCCUAGAAGACAGAACAGUAGCUUUAGAACCAGGCAAAUUUGGUGAUGAUUCCCAGUUUCGAUACCAAUGAGCUGUGUAAGUUAUAUUGCAUUCCACUUUUCUUCUUUGUCUCUGUUUCUCUAUCCAGACAAAGUAGAACUAACGGAUAACUCAUAAAUGUACUGUGAGCAUUAGGGAUGCUUAACCUAAAUUACCUAAAAUAGUGCUUGUUACAGUACAGAUACUAUUAAAUGUCAUUUGUGAAUAUUAUCAUUAUUGCUACUAUUAUUAUUAUCACUCUUAUGUGACUCAAUAGUCUUUCCCUAAAUGUUCUCUAAAGCAAUAAUAAUCUGUCCCUGAGCUAUGAGAUAAUCUUUCGUCUGAUAUCACACCUGGAUUUUUGAGUAUUGCUUGGCAACUAAACUCAGUUUUUGUACUGUCUCUGAUCUUUGGCCAGAGGUCCACUUGAUUGUCUUAGAGUUUUACAUUUUACCUGCCACAGUACUCACCAGAAAAUGCUGUACUCAGGCUCAGCUGAAAUGCCUACCUCUGGUGCAACACUCUUUGCCUUGUGUGUUUGAAUGGUUGUGCAUCUGGGUCUCUAAGCAAGGAGCUCCUUGAGGACAAGGGCUUCUCUGAUUCAUGUCUUCUUCUUCGGGCCUAGAGCAGGGUGAGUCGUGUGAUCACACAGUUCUGUUUGCCUGAUUCUUUGGGAGACUGUGUUGAUCCUGGCUGUUGCCAUUUCCUUUGGAGCUCUGUAGCUAGAUUGGGCUUCCUGUCCUCCUGGUCCCCCAUCCCAUUGGAGGGUGGAGUUUCAGGAGGCAGCUCCCCUUCUCUGCCCCACACGCUUCCCCCUGGCUGGGGUCCCAUGGUGAGAUCUCUUCCCAGGAGUCAGUUCACAGCUCAGUCACGUCUUGCUUAGGGGAAGACAAUGAAACUUGACCUGAGAAGGCUUGGAGUGAUUACUACAAUCAUCAUAAUUUAUAUGUAAAGGAACUUACAAAGAAGGAAAGGAAGAAAUUAAGGAACAAGUGUGAACAGGAAGGACAAGAGGCAAAGAGGAAGGAAGAAAGUAAGACAGAAAAUGUUUUUAAGGAUCUGCUUUGGGAUGAGCCUGGGCCAGAUACUUUCACAAA
RNAcentral lists this long non-coding RNA (4183 nucleotides) under Homo sapiens (human). RNAcentral describes it as "HSALNT0027662". Lineage: Eukaryota; Metazoa; Chordata; Mammalia; Primates; Hominidae. The record is from RNAcentral.